GUGCUUGCUUCUGCAGCACAUAUACUAAAACUGGAGCAAUACAGAGAAGAUUAGCAUGGCCCCUGCGCAAGGAUGACACACAAAUUCGUGAAGCGUUCUAUAUUUUU
This 107-nucleotide small nuclear RNA is filed under the name Podarcis muralis (Common wall lizard). The record is from RNAcentral. Lineage: Eukaryota; Metazoa; Chordata; Lepidosauria; Squamata; Lacertidae.